RNAcentral lists this transfer RNA (84 nucleotides) under Acetobacter oeni. It matches the Rfam family "tRNA". Rfam says of the family: Transfer RNA (tRNA) molecules are approximately 80 nucleotides in length. RNAcentral also lists the same sequence under 1 other name. Lineage: Bacteria; Pseudomonadati; Pseudomonadota; Alphaproteobacteria; Acetobacterales; Acetobacteraceae. The record is from Rfam by way of RNAcentral.
GCGAGCUUGGCGGAAUGGUAGACGCACGAGACUUAAAAUCUCGAGUCCUAAAAGGACGUGCGGGUUCGAGUCCCGCAGCUCGCA